Molecule: non-coding RNA, 96 nt
Organism: Nemania sp. NC0429
Lineage: Eukaryota; Fungi; Ascomycota; Sordariomycetes; Xylariales; Xylariaceae
Source: the annotation of a GenBank genome assembly
GGUCGGUUAGCUCAGUUGGUUAGAGCGUCGUACUAAUACAGAAUUCCAUUGUACUAAGUAAUGCGAAGGUCAUGGGUUCGACCCCCAUACUGACCA